This 392-nucleotide unclassified non-coding RNA is filed under the name soil metagenome. Its description in RNAcentral is "partial contains 5.8S ribosomal RNA, internal transcribed spacer 2, and large subunit ribosomal RNA". The stretch from base 1 to 122 matches the Rfam family "5.8S ribosomal RNA", at positions 35 to 154 of the family's 154-position model. The record is from RNAcentral.
GAUGAAGAACGUAGCGAAAUGCGAUACUUGGUGUGAAUUGCAGAAUCCCGUGAACCAUCGAGUCUUUGAACGCAAGUUGCGCCCGAAGCCAUUAGGCCGAGGGCACGCCUGCCUGGGCGUCACACGUCGUUGCCCCCCCCAUCUUCUCCUUCGGGAUUGCGGGGGGCGGAUGAUGGCCUCCCGUGCGCCUCGCCGCGCGGUUGGCAUAAAUGCCAAGUCCUCGGCGACGCACGCCACGACAAUCGGUGGUUGCGAAACCUCGGUUGCCCGUCGUGCGCGGUCGUCGCGCAUCGAGGGCUCGAAAAAAUUGCCGAGUUCCGGCUCGGCUUUCAACGCGACCCCAGGUCAGGCGGGGUUACCCGCUGAAUUUAAGCAUAUCAAUAAGCGGAGGA